Molecule: ribosomal RNA, 253 nt
Filed under: uncultured bacterium
Lineage: Bacteria
Description: partial 16S ribosomal RNA
Rfam family: Bacterial small subunit ribosomal RNA
Source: RNAcentral
UACGUAGGGGGCUAGCGUUGUCCGGAAUUACUGGGCGUAAAGCGCACGUAGGCGGCUUUGUAAGUUAGAGGUGAAAGCCCAGGGCUUAACCCUGGAAUUGCCUUUAAGACUGCAUCGCUAGAAUCGUGGAGAGGUAAGUGGAAUUCCGAGUGUAGAGGUGAAAUUCGUAGAUAUUCGGAAGAACACCAGUGGCGAAGGCGACUUACUGGACACGUAUUGACGCUGAGGUGCGAAAGCGUGGGGAGCAAACAGG